GUAUGGUGUGAAGAGGCGAAGUCUACCUUCCGGGUCCCCAAGAGGCUCCAGGGAGGCAGAGCCGUGCCUACCCCCUGUCCUCCACCAGGGGGUGCUAAGGCUGAGGGCAGGGAGGGAGCACACCGUCCAGCAAAGGGCCCAGAGGCCGAGAGAAAAGCUCACAUGGUCAGGGGCGUCUGUGGGAAGGGAAAUCUGAUAUUUUGUCCUUGGGAUGGAUGUUCUGCUCAGACCCCGAGUCUGCUGAGCAGCCGCAGCCCCCUGGAAGGGGGAGGGACUGGGGAAGCCGGAGGCCAGUGCGCUGCCCCCAGGGGUUCUGAGCUGGGUCCCCUGAGGCACCUACCAGACACUGCUGGAUGGGGCCGGGGGAGGGCUUGGGGCGGGUGAGGCCGGAGGGCUGGUCAGAGGAAGAGGGAGCGGAGUGGACACCUGCUCCUCCCUCACCCUCAGGUGCUGCUCAGAUGUCACCUCCUCAGACAGACUUUCCCUGAGCACCCCCCACCCUCCACCCCUACCGCAUCCCCCGGUCUAAACUAGGCCUUCUUUGCAGCCUUUCUCUGCAGAAUUUUCUUCGUAGCACUUAAUGCUACCUGACAUUGCAUUUGGCUGAACCGUAUACAAUUGUCAAAUGCCAGCAAUUUCAUACAGUUCAACCUAAUACUACAUAUUCAGCGGUUCUUCAUCUGCCUCCGCCACUGGAAUGUAGCUCCACGCGGUUGGGAUUUUUAUCUGUGGCGUUUCUGCUACAUCCGCAGUGCCUAGAUGAGUCCCUGGCACAAAGCGGACCCUCAGUAAAUGUUGAAUGAAUAGGAGGCCGGUCAUCAUUCCCAAAACCAUGUCCCUGCCCUCCAGAGGCUCACAGCCUCGCCAGGAAGACAACGCCACAAUGACAGCCACUCCUCAGGCACUUGCCAGGCGCCAGGCAGUCUAGCUGGUGGUUAAAUGUGCAGACUCUGGAGCAGGACAGCAGGUUCAAAGACCACAUCCACCACCUUCUUGGUCAUAUGUGACUUUGGGUAAAUCACCUAACACCUCUGGGCCUCAGUUUCUCCAUCUGUACGAGGGGAAUCGCAGUAUCCAGACAGAGGAAAACAGCCCUGGCAUCUGGGAGCUGCCCGGUCCUAUCAGCCAGGCCUCGGUGUUGCUCGGGCUGGCCUGGCACAGCUGGUCCUGGUGCUCCUGCUGAACACAGAAAAGCCAUCUGUGACCGUGACGGAUGGAGACAAAAACAGGACCACUCGGGCAGAAACCAAUGCAACAGCAUUGGGCCAGUGUCUGGGACGAGCAGAGCAGAGGGACCUUGGAGCUCAAAGAGAAGAGAGGCCCCAGGCUGCAGAGGGCAAGCCCCCAGGAUGUGCUCAGCGACCUUCUCUCUUCCUCUCCCAUUGGUGAUGCCCUCACUGGAUCCAAGGCCGCCUGGCUGCUGAGUAAACACAGGCCCAGCUGAGGCCCGAGGUGGGGGUCAGUGUCGGCAGAGUCUGAGGCCUGAGUCACUUCCUGAUCAUUGCUUAAGAGGCGUCCGGAGCCACAGCCUGAGUGGCCAGCUCGUGCCCUUGCAGGAUUGCAGCCACUUGGGCAAUGAGCACUUCCGUGGUAUUCCUCACCUUUCCAGGCUCAGCUCUGCCAGCUCAGGUUUCUGAGACCCACAACAGAGAGGCUGAAGCCCUGCUCCCACCUGGAGAACUGGAUCCUCAACCCAGAAGGAAACCUAAGUCUCCUGGACAACCCUCUUGCCUGUGCCCAGCCUUAGGUGCUGGCUUCCUGGACCCACCCCAACCUCAGAAUCAGGGUGCCUUCCACUGGCACCACCAACCCCAAAGUUCUGAAACUCCUGCAGCCCUCCCCGGCACGGAGCCCCUGCCCUGUCCCCCCACAGGGUCUCAGGGCUGAAGGAGGGCUGGGGCAGAGAAGAGGGUGGGGAAUAUGUCAGAGAGCUCAGGGCAGGAUGUACUGAGGGAGACACGGCUUGAUCAGUGGACAUGUCCUCACGAUGUGGGCGAGGCUGACGAUGUGAAAUGCAGGCCACCUCCUUUAAGGAGACCCAGAGACACUGCAUAGCCUUGUGGCCGAGAGCAUGGACUCUAGAACCAGGCUACCAGCUUCCCCAUCUCAGCUCUGCCCUUUACCAGCUGUGCUACCUUCGGCAAGUUACUUCACCUCUCUGUACCUCAGGUUCCUCAUCUCUAAAAUGAGAAUAAUAAUAGUACUGACUCAUAGGCCUCUCACCAGGAUUAAGGGAGUUGUGUAUGUAAAACACUUAGAAUAAUGACUGGCGCAUGGCAAACACAGUGUUCAUUAAAUAAAUAUUUUUUC
Molecule: long non-coding RNA, 2310 nt
Filed under: Equus caballus (horse)
Lineage: Eukaryota; Metazoa; Chordata; Mammalia; Perissodactyla; Equidae
Description: lncRNA (ENSECAG00000056237.1)
Source: RNAcentral